GACGAACGCUGGCGGCGUGCUUAACACAUGCAAGUCGAACGGAAAGGCCUGCUUUCCCUUGUGGAUUGCGGGUACUCGAGUGGCGAACGAGUGAGUAACACGUGAGUGAUCUGCCCCCAACUUGGGUAUAAGCCUGGGAAACUGGGUCUAAUUCCCGAUAGGACUGCAGGGUGGUGCCUGUGGUGGAAAACGAUUUUCUAGUGGUUGGGGAUGAGCUCGCGGCCUAUCAGCUUGUUGGUGGGGUAAUGGCCUACCAAGGCGGCGACGGGUAGCCGGCCUGAGAGGGUGGACGGCCACAUUGGGACUGAGAUACGGCCCAGACUCCUACGGGAGGCAGCAGUGGGGAAUAUUGCACAAUGGGCGGAAGCCUGAUGCAGCGACGCCGCGUGGGGGAUGACGGCCUUCGGGUUGUAAACUCCUUUCGACCGCGAGGAAGCCACCUGGUUGGAAGGGUGGUGACGGUAGUGGUAGAAGAAGCUCCGGCUAACUACGUG
This 494-nucleotide ribosomal RNA is filed under the name uncultured bacterium. RNAcentral's name for it is "partial 16S ribosomal RNA". It matches the Rfam family "Bacterial small subunit ribosomal RNA", at positions 28 to 507 of the family's 1533-position model. The record is from RNAcentral.